RNAcentral lists this ribosomal RNA (448 nucleotides) under uncultured bacterium. RNAcentral's name for it is "bacterial SSU rRNA". It matches the Rfam family "Bacterial small subunit ribosomal RNA", at positions 355 to 825 of the family's 1533-position model. The record is from RNAcentral.
UCGGGAAUUUUGGGCAAUGGGCGAAAGCCUGACCCAGCAACGCCGCGUGAAGGAUGAAGCAUUUCGGUAUGUAAACUUCGUAAGAAUAGGAAGAAUAAAUGACGGUACUAUUUGUAAGGUCCGGCUAACUACGUGCCAGCAGCCGCGGUAAUACGUAGGGACCAAGCGUUGUCCGGAUUUACUGGGCGUAAAGGGCGCGUAGGCGGUGUGUCAAGUCAGUUGUGAAAUCUCCGAGCUUAACUCGGAACGGUCAACUGAUACUGUCACACUAGAGUACAGAAGGGGCAAUCGGAAUUCUUGGUGUAGCGGUGAAAUGCGUAGAUAUCAAGAGGAACACCUGAGGCGAAGGCGGGUUGCUGGGCUGACACUGACGCUGAGGCGCGAAAGCCAGGGGAGCAAACGGGGAUUAGAUACCCACGUAGUCCCUGAGCGGGCUGGCAAGGCGCAU